UGGGGGAUAUUGCACAAUGGGCGAAAGCCUGAUGCAGCGACGCCGCGUGGGGGAUGAAGGCUUUCGGGUUGUAAACCUCUUUCGCUAUCGAACAAGGCCCGCUUAGGGUGGGUUGAGGGUAGGUGGAGAAGAAGCGCCGGCUAACUACGUGCCAGCAGCCGCGGUAAUACGUAGGGCGCGAGCGUUGUCCGGAAUUAUUGGGCGUAAAGGGCUUGUAGGCGGCUUGUUGCGCCUGCUGUGAAAACGCGGGGCUUAACUUCGCGCGUGCAGUGGGUACGGGCAGGCUUGAGUGUGGUAGGGGUGACUGGAAUUCCAGGUGUAGCGGUGGAAUGCGCAGAUAUCUGGAGGAACACCGAUGGCGAAGGCAGGUCACUGGGCCAUUACUGACGCUGAGGAGCGACAGCAUGGGUAGCGAACAGG
Molecule: ribosomal RNA, 420 nt
Filed under: bacterium
Lineage: Bacteria
Description: partial 16S ribosomal RNA
Rfam family: Bacterial small subunit ribosomal RNA
Source: RNAcentral